This 514-nucleotide ribosomal RNA is filed under the name Fusarium equiseti. RNAcentral describes it as "eukaryotic LSU rRNA". The stretch from base 163 to 316 matches the Rfam family "5.8S ribosomal RNA". Lineage: Eukaryota; Fungi; Ascomycota; Sordariomycetes; Hypocreales; Nectriaceae. The record is from RNAcentral.
CGGAGGGAUCAUUACCGAGUUUACAACUCCCAAACCCCUGUGAACAUACCUAUACGUUGCCUCGGCGGAUCAGCCCGCGCCCCGUAAAACGGGACGGCCCGCCCGAGGACCCUAAACUCUGUUUUUAGUGGAACUUCUGAGUAAAACAAACAAAUAAAUCAAAACUUUCAACAACGGAUCUCUUGGUUCUGGCAUCGAUGAAGAACGCAGCAAAAUGCGAUAAGUAAUGUGAAUUGCAGAAUUCAGUGAAUCAUCGAAUCUUUGAACGCACAUUGCGCCCGCCAGUAUUCUGGCGGGCAUGCCUGUUCGAGCGUCAUUUCAACCCUCAAGCUCAGCUUGGUGUUGGGACUCGCGGUAACCCGCGUUCCCCAAAUCGAUUGGCGGUCACGUCGAGCUUCCAUAGCGUAGUAAUCAUACACCUCGUUACUGGUAAUCGUCGCGGCCACGCCGUAAAACCCCAACUUCUGAAUGUUGACCUCGGAUCAGGUAGGAAUACCCGCUGAACUUAAGCAUA